AAAAAAUGUAACCAGCUGAUUUUUCAACGUUCAUCAAGCCAAACAGCCAAUACUUACCAAGACUCUGCUAGUCAGGUUGGUCUCCAGAAACAUUCAGCAAGCAUUGAUCAGUGUCAAUGGGUGGCAUUUUUUCCUGCAUGGAGGAAUUCAGUGGCACACCCUUGCUUCCGAUGGAUUCCGUCAGUCUGCCCCUCUGCUGCCAUCUGUCACAUGGAAACAACAUGUAAUGGAGUACUGUUAGGAAGGUUCAACCCCUGCUGCCAAACCACCAGCAUCCACCUCUGAUGUCAGGGGCCAACAUAAUAAAACAGGAGGCAUUACUUUCAGAGCAGCAAUUGUAUAAAUCGGACGCUCUUUAACAUUUAUUCAAGUUUAUUAAAAUACUACCAGAAUUUCUUGAAUUUUCUGAGUUGUGGACACCAUGAUAAG
This 429-nucleotide long non-coding RNA is filed under the name Gallus gallus (chicken). The record is from RNAcentral. Lineage: Eukaryota; Metazoa; Chordata; Aves; Galliformes; Phasianidae.